This 87-nucleotide transfer RNA is filed under the name Flavisolibacter tropicus. RNAcentral's name for it is "tRNA-Leu". It matches the Rfam family "tRNA". From Rfam's summary of the family: Transfer RNA (tRNA) molecules are approximately 80 nucleotides in length. Their secondary structure includes four short double-helical elements and three loops (D, anti-codon, and T loops). Further hydrogen bonds mediate the characteristic L-shaped molecular structure. tRNAs have two regions of fundamental functional importance: the anti-codon, which is responsible for specific mRNA codon recognition, and the 3' end, to which the tRNAs corresponding amino acid is attached (by aminoacyl-tRNA synthetases). tRNAs cope with the degeneracy of the genetic code in two manners: having more than one tRNA (with a specific anti-codon) for a particular amino acid; and 'wobble' base-pairing, i.e. permitting non-standard base-pairing at the 3rd anti-codon position. The record is from RNAcentral. Lineage: Bacteria; Pseudomonadati; Bacteroidota; Chitinophagia; Chitinophagales; Chitinophagaceae.
GCCCAGGUGGCGGAAUUGGUAGACGCAGCAGACUCAAAAUCUGCCGCCUUCACGGGUGUGCUGGUUCGAUUCCAGUCCUGGGCACAA